CAGCAGCCACGGGAAUACGGAGGGGGCUAGCGUUGUUCGGAAUUACUGGGCGUAAAGCGCACGUAGGCGGCUUGGUAAGUUAGAGGUGAAAGCCCGGAGCUCAACUCCGGAAUUGCCUUUAAGACUGCCGAGCUAGCAGGUGAGAGAGGUAAGUGGAAUUCCGAGUGUAGAGGUGAAAUUCGUAGAUAUUCGGAAGAACACCAGUGGCGAAGGCGGCUUACUGGCUCAUACUGGACGCUGAGGUGCGAAAGCGUGGGGAGCAAACAGGAUUAGAUACCCCAGUAGUCCCUGUCUCUUAUAC
RNAcentral lists this ribosomal RNA (301 nucleotides) under uncultured bacterium. RNAcentral's name for it is "partial 16S ribosomal RNA". It matches the Rfam family "Bacterial small subunit ribosomal RNA", at positions 509 to 807 of the family's 1533-position model. The record is from RNAcentral.